RNAcentral lists this transfer RNA (75 nucleotides) under Puniceicoccales bacterium. RNAcentral's name for it is "tRNA-Arg". It matches the Rfam family "tRNA". From Rfam's summary of the family: Transfer RNA (tRNA) molecules are approximately 80 nucleotides in length. Their secondary structure includes four short double-helical elements and three loops (D, anti-codon, and T loops). The record is from RNAcentral. Lineage: Bacteria; Pseudomonadati; Verrucomicrobiota; Opitutia; Puniceicoccales.
GUCCUCAUAGUUCAAUGGAUAGAACCGCGGUUUCCUAAACCGUUAAUCUCAGUUCGAGUCUGAGUGGGGGCACCA